CGUAACCACCUAUAUAAAAAAAUAAAAAAAUAAUUAAUUAAGACUUCAUGUAAAGAAUAAAAAAAGAAGAAGAUAUUAUUGGAGUAACUUAAUUAUUAUUAAUCGAGAGGCAUGUAAUUGGUACGAUGACUUCAUGUAAAGAGGUUGAGGGGUGAAAGUAAAAGAAAGAGCAGUAAUGAUGACAAUGAAAGUAAGAGGAAUAACUGUUACAGUGAUGAUGUCAUGAUUAUAACAUGCUGUGGAGGUAUGAUUAUAUUAAUAAUGUAAGGAAUUAAACAACACCUUAUUUCAUUAAUUCUAAGAAAAUAAAACUAAUAUAAAUAUUUUGUAAUACUUAAGAGAGCAAACCUUUCUUCCCAACCCAACCAGCUAUACGAUUACCGUACAAGAUGAGAACAUUGAGAUGUUGGAAAGGAAGAAACAAGGAGGCGUUUAGGUACCAAUCCCCCAGCUCCUCGUUCCUCACGCCCCCGAGAUAGAGAAAGGUGACUCGACCUGUGCUGCUGUUGCAGCGAAUACGUUCCCAAGAACAACAGUGGGCGUCAGCUUUUAUCCAGGAGGGAAGGGAGGUGCCAUUGGGAUAGUUAAGAGAAUCUUUGAGGUGCAAGAGAGCGAUCCUCUCUUCCUCCA
This is a long non-coding RNA of Populus euphratica (Euphrates poplar), 630 nucleotides long. RefSeq lists it as uncharacterized. The record is from RefSeq and is a predicted model, not a curated record. The transcript has 3 exons. Lineage: Eukaryota; Viridiplantae; Streptophyta; Magnoliopsida; Malpighiales; Salicaceae.